This 255-nucleotide ribosomal RNA is filed under the name uncultured bacterium. RNAcentral describes it as "partial 16S ribosomal RNA". It matches the Rfam family "Bacterial small subunit ribosomal RNA", at positions 524 to 776 of the family's 1533-position model. The record is from RNAcentral.
UACGUAGGGUGCAAGCGUUAAUCGGAAUUACUGGGCGUAAAGCGUGCGCAGGCGGUUUUGUAAGUCUGUCGUGAAAGCCCCGGGCUCAACCUGGGAAUUGCGAUGGAGACUGCAAGGCUUGAAUCUGGCAGAGGGGGGGUAGAAUUCCACGUGUAGCAGUGAAAUGCGUAGAGAUGUGGAGGAACACCGAUGGCGAAGGCAGCCCCCUGGGAUAACACUGACGCCUCAUGCACGAAAGCGUGGGGAGCAAACAGG